RNAcentral lists this ribosomal RNA (1428 nucleotides) under uncultured organism. RNAcentral's name for it is "SSU rRNA". It matches the Rfam family "Bacterial small subunit ribosomal RNA". The record is from RNAcentral.
UGCGGCGUGCCUAACACAUGCAAGUCGAGCGAUGAAGUUCCUUCGGGAACGGAUUAGCGGCGGACGGGUGAGUAACACGUGGGCAACCUGCCUUAUAGAGGGGAAUAGCCUUCCGAAAGGAAGAUUAAUACCGCAUAAGAUUGUAGCUUCGCAUGAAGCAGCAAUUAAAGGAGCAAUCCGCUAUAAGAUGGGCCCGCGGCGCAUUAGCUAGUUGGUGAGGUAACGGCUCACCAAGGCGACGAUGCGUAGCCGACCUGAGAGGGUGAUCGGCCACAUUGGGACUGAGACACGGCCCACACUCCUACGGGAGGCAGCAGUGGGGAAUAUUGCACAAUGGGGGAAACCCUGAUGCACCAACGCCGCGUGAGUGAUGACGGCCUUCGGGUUGUAAAGCUCUGUCUUUGGGGACGAUAAUGACGGUACCCAAGGAGGAAGCCACGGCUAACUACGUGCCACCAGCCGCGGUAAUACGUAGGUGGCAAGCGUUGUCCGGAUUUACUGGGCGUAAAGGGAGCGUAGGCGGAUUUUUAAGUGGGAUGUGAAAUACCCGGGCUCAACCUGUGUGCUGCAUUCCAAACUGGAAAUCUAGAGUGCAGGAGGGGAAAGUGGAAUUCCUAGUGUAGCGGUGAAAUGCGUAGAGAUUAGGAAGAACACCAGUGGCGAAAGCGACUUUCUGGACUGUAACUGACGCUGAGGCUCGAAAGCGUGGGGAGCAAACAGGAUUAGAUACCCUGGUAGUUCACGCCGUAAACGAUGAAUACUAGGUGUAGGGGUUGUCAUGACCUCUGUGCCGCCGCUAACGCAUUAAGUAUUCCGCCUGGGGAGUACGGUCGCAAGAUUAAAACUCAAAGGAAUUGACGGGGGCCCGCACAAGUAGCGGAGCAUGUGGUUUAAUUCGAAGCAACGCGAAGAACCUUACCUAGACUUGACAUCUCCUGAAUUACCAUGUAAUGUGGGAAGUCCCUUCGGGGACAGGAAGACAGGUGGUGCAUGGUUGUCGUCAGCUCGUGUCGUGAGAUGUUGGGUUAAGUCCCGCAACGAGCGCAACCCUUAUUGUUAGUUGCUACCAUUUAGUUGAGCACUCUAGCGAGACUGCCCGGGUUAACCGGGAGGAAGGUGGGGAUGACGUCAAAUCAUCAUGCCCCUUAUGUCUAGGGCUACACACGUGCUACAAUGGCCGGUACAACGAGAUGCAAUACCGUGAGGUGGAGCAAAACUAUAAAACCGGUCUCAGUUCGGAUUGUAGGGUGAAACUCGCCUACAUGAAGCUGGAGUUACUAGUAAUCGCGAAUCAGAAUGUCGCGGUGAAUACGUUCCCGGGCCUUGUACACACCGCCCGUCACACCAUGAGAGUUGGCAAUACCCAAAGUUGGUGAUCUAACCCGUAAGGGAGGAAGCCACCUAAGGUAGGGUCAGCGAUUGGGGUGA